AGCGAACGCUGGCGGCAGGCCUAACACAUGCUAGUCGAACGGAUCCUUCGGGAUUAGUGGCGGACGGGUGAGUAACACGUGGGAACGUGCCCUUUGGUUCGGAACAACUCAGGGAAACUUGAGCUAAUACCGGAUGUGCCCUUCGGGGGAAAGAUUUAUCGCCAUUGGAGCGGCCCGCGUCUGAUUAGCUAGUUGGUGGGGUAAAGGCCCACCAAGGCGACGAUCAGUAGAUGGUCUGAGAGGAUGAUCAGCCACAUUGGGACUGAGACACGGCCAAAACUCCUACGGGAGGCAGCAGUGGGGAAUCUUGUGCAAUGGGCGAAAGCUGGACGCAGCCGUGCCGCGUGAAUGAUGAAGGUCUUAGGAUUGUAAAAUUCUUUCACCGGGGACGAUAAUGACGGUACCCGGAGAAGAAGCCCCGGCUAACUUCGUGCCAGCCGCCGCCGUAA
Molecule: ribosomal RNA, 449 nt
Filed under: uncultured bacterium
Lineage: Bacteria
Description: partial 16S ribosomal RNA
Rfam family: Bacterial small subunit ribosomal RNA
Source: RNAcentral